CGCUGGCGGCGUGCCUAACACAUGCAAGUCGAACGCGAAAGUCCCGCAAGGGAUCGGUAGAGUGGCAAACGGGUGAGUAACACGUGGGUGACCUGCCUUCGAGUGGGGGAUAACGUCCCGAAAGGGACGCUAAUACCGCAUAACAUGCUGCCUUUUAAGAGGUGGACAGCAAAGCUGGGGAUCGCAAGACCUAGCGCUUGAAGAGGGGCCCGCGUCCGAUUAGCUAGUUGGUGGGGUAACGGCUCACCAAGGCAACGAUCGGUAGCCGGCCUGAGAGGGCGGACGGCCACACUGGGACUGAGACACGGCCCAGACUCCUACGGGAGGCAGCAGUGGGGAAUUGUUCGCAAUGGGCGCAAGCCUGACGACGCAACGCCGCGUGGAGGAUGAAGAUCUUCGGGUCGUAAACUCCUUUCGAUCGAGACGAACGGCCUCCGGGUGAACAAUCCGGGGGAGUGACGGUACCGAGAGAAGAAGCCCCGGCUAACUCCGUGCCAGCAGCCGCGGUAAUACGGGGGGGGCAAGCGUUGUUCGGAAUUACUGGGCGUAAAGGGCUCGUAGGUGGCCAACUAAGUCAGACGUGAAAUCCC
RNAcentral lists this ribosomal RNA (590 nucleotides) under uncultured Acidobacteriota bacterium. RNAcentral describes it as "bacterial SSU rRNA". It matches the Rfam family "Bacterial small subunit ribosomal RNA", at positions 34 to 603 of the family's 1533-position model. The record is from RNAcentral. Lineage: Bacteria; Pseudomonadati; Acidobacteriota.